Paramuricea clavata is the source of this 319-nucleotide non-coding RNA. The record is from the annotation of a GenBank genome assembly. NCBI's taxonomy places the organism in Eukaryota, Metazoa, Cnidaria, Anthozoa, Malacalcyonacea, Plexauridae.
AAUGUUUAUAGAUGCAGAAAAAAAUAUAUAAAGAUGACACUGGUCACUACAGUAGCUGUUGUACGCGGUUGACUCUGACAGAACAGUACCUUAAAAUUUUUCGCUUCAGUCAGUAAAGCCCGGAGAUGUAGACUUGCUCUGGCUUUGUUGGGUUCUUCUGUAUUUCCAUCAGCAGGCAAAGUAUGUGAAAUUUUGUCUAAAGACUUUCCCAAAUCUCGUAAUUUGUCGAAAACUUCGAAAUGAGUCGCCAUCUUGGAAUUUUUUGAAAAUUUGCCGCCCGCCACUGGGCUAUAUACGGCUGUACUUUAUCAUAUUAUCA